GGGGUCGUAGCUCAGCUGGGAGAGCGUCGCCUCGGCAUGGCGAAGGUCGCGGGUUCGAAUCCCGCCGACUCCA
RNAcentral lists this transfer RNA (73 nucleotides) under Persephonella hydrogeniphila. RNAcentral describes it as "tRNA_Ala_GGC". It matches the Rfam family "tRNA". Rfam says of the family: Transfer RNA (tRNA) molecules are approximately 80 nucleotides in length. The record is from RNAcentral. Lineage: Bacteria; Pseudomonadati; Aquificota; Aquificia; Aquificales; Hydrogenothermaceae.